Molecule: long non-coding RNA, 1286 nt
Filed under: Hordeum vulgare
Lineage: Eukaryota; Viridiplantae; Streptophyta; Magnoliopsida; Poales; Poaceae
Description: long non-coding RNA (HVUL_LNC007977)
Source: RNAcentral
GGGUAGGGUGCAGACCCUUAUACUGCAACAAGAAAAGGCUGAAAAUAACCAAUUGAUAGAUAUAUGAUCGAUACACACAUUGAUGAUAUGGUCUCAUCCCAUGAGGAAAUGAUUUAAAUGAUGAAGCUCUUCAUGUGGUGCUUGCAAAAAUGAACCAGACCUAGCUUCUAUGGUCUAAUUCAAUCACCUCAAUCCCUCUUUUUUGUAUACUGUCAGUCUAAUUUUAAUCAUAUUUAUAAUUUAUUCCAACCUACGCUGUCUUGUCAUGUUCUAAUUUUUUUGAGCAAAAGUAAUUCUCUAACUUGAGACUGGAAAACGGCGGAAUUGAAGAACCCGGUUGGCCUUCAGUGACAAGUGUUGCUACUAAAUACAUGUCGUGCCAUAAUUAAAGUUGGUUUGCAGUAACCGACCACUUACAAGGUUCUUUUUGGUAGUGGGGACUAACCCAGUGCAAUAGAUCCAGGAGUUGAUUUGUUGUUAUUUUGUCGACUAGUAUCCACAAAGGUCUGGCCAACGAAUGACUCAACACCCAGUUGAGCUACAUUCGUGAGUACAUAAAAAGCAAAAAUUAACUAGUGUUUUAUAGGUUUAUUUUGUUAGUUUGAUGUAUCUUUUACAUAAGGUUAUCAUCGAAUAACCAAUAGAAACUCGCGGCACAAAUGUUAUGACGAAUUACACAACUAAACUCAUGACCCGUCACAGCUCACAACCCCAUUUCCAUUUCGCUACACAAGUGUGUAAUGACCAACCAACUUCAGUACAUCCAUCAUGAGCUCCCGUUGCAUAUACUUAUAUAUAUGAAAGGCAGCCCCGAAUAGGAUUGCAGUAAAAUUAGGCAAGCUGGUUAUAAAUGGCAACUCCGAAUAGGACGCAUAGGUAGGAAUGCAGCGAAAUUAGUCGAGGUGUGUGUUGCAAGGUUUUUGGUACCGAGCGAAAAUAUCUUAGUUCAUCCUGAUCGGUGUGGAAACUAUGGGCACGUUCGUACUCACUCCGUUCCACGACUCCGCGCUGGAGUGGAAUGGCAUGCAGUGAUAAAUCUGGGAGUUGUUAAAAUUUGCUUUACGCGCUUUGCUAUGCAGAGAGUGUUGGGGAACGUCGCAUGAGAAACAAUAAUUUUCCUACGCGCACGAAGACCUAUCAUGAUGAUGUCCAUCUACGAGAGGGGAUGAGUGAUCUACGUACCCUUGUAGAUCGUACAGCAGAAGCGUUAGAGAACGCGGUUGAUGUAGUGGAACGUCCUCACGUCCCUCGAUCCGCCCCGCGAACAAUCCCGCGAUCAGUCCCAC